AACGAACGCUGGCGGCAUGCCUAACACAUGCAAGUCGAACGAGACCUUCGGGUCUAGUGGCGCACGGGUGCGUAACGCGUGGGAACCUGCCCUUAGGUUCGGAAUAACUCCCCGAAAGGGGUGCUAAUACCGGAUAAUGUCUUCGGACCAAAGAUUUAUCGCCUUUGGAUGGGCCCGCGUUGGAUUAGCUAGUUGGUAGGGUAAAAGCCUACCAAGGCGACGAUCCAUAGCUGGUCAGAGAGGAUGAUCAGCCACACUGGGACUGAGACACGGCCCAGACUCCUACGGGAGGCAGCAGUGGGGAAUAUUGGACAAUGGGCGAAAGCCUGAUGCAGCAAUGCCGGGUGAGUGAUGAAGGCCUUAGGGUUGUAAAGCUCUUUUACCCGGGAUGAUAAUGACAGUACCGGGAGAAUAAGCACCGGCUAACUACGUG
This 433-nucleotide ribosomal RNA is filed under the name uncultured bacterium. Its description in RNAcentral is "partial 16S ribosomal RNA". It matches the Rfam family "Bacterial small subunit ribosomal RNA", at positions 29 to 507 of the family's 1533-position model. The record is from RNAcentral.